GGGCGCUUGGCUUAGUGGUAAAGCGCUCCCUUAGCAUGGGAGAGGUCCAGGGUUCGAUUCCCUGAGUGUCCA
Molecule: transfer RNA, 72 nt
Filed under: Stachybotrys chartarum IBT 7711
Lineage: Eukaryota; Fungi; Ascomycota; Sordariomycetes; Hypocreales; Stachybotryaceae
Also listed under: 3 other names
Description: tRNA-Ala (AGC) (tRNA-Ala-AGC-1 1 to 4)
Rfam family: tRNA
About the family: Transfer RNA (tRNA) molecules are approximately 80 nucleotides in length. Their secondary structure includes four short double-helical elements and three loops (D, anti-codon, and T loops). Further hydrogen bonds mediate the characteristic L-shaped molecular structure. tRNAs have two regions of fundamental functional importance: the anti-codon, which is responsible for specific mRNA codon recognition, and the 3' end, to which the tRNAs corresponding amino acid is attached (by aminoacyl-tRNA synthetases). tRNAs cope with the degeneracy of the genetic code in two manners: having more than one tRNA (with a specific anti-codon) for a particular amino acid; and 'wobble' base-pairing, i.e. permitting non-standard base-pairing at the 3rd anti-codon position.
Source: RNAcentral